This 270-nucleotide ribosomal RNA is filed under the name Triticum aestivum (bread wheat). RNAcentral describes it as "partial small subunit ribosomal RNA". The record is from RNAcentral. Lineage: Eukaryota; Viridiplantae; Streptophyta; Magnoliopsida; Poales; Poaceae.
AGCUCCAAGAAUACUCGGAGGAGGUGGCCCGGGUCGGCGUCGGCGCCGUCCGGCGCGGGCCACGGGCCCGCUUCCAAGUGCAUCUGCGCGCCGGCCAGCCACACCGGGUCCUCCAAGUGCCGCUUCCACCGCACCAACUCCCAGGGCCACGGCCACGGCCAGGGCCAGGGAAGCCGCCCUUCUUCGCCCCCUUCACCAGCCGCAGCCAACGCGGUGCCGCGGCACCCGGCCUCGCUGUCCUCGUCCUCCGGCACCGUCGCGACCCAGUGA